GUCAGUUAAGAAAGAAUAUGAUUAUGAUGAGAAUAAUUCGGAAAUACAGCAAAAAGCAGGUCAUUAUAUAGAUAAAUGUAGUUAUAACGAUGGUACUACUAGUAGUAGCAACUGUAGUAGUAGUAGUAGUAACAGUAAUGGUUAUUACAGUACAAACCACAAUAAUGAUAACGACAGUAACAAGCUGUGGCAUAUAAGACGAAUAAAAAAUUAUAAAAAAUGCUUGUUUAAAAAUAUAAGGUAUUUCAAGUUUCCAUAUAAAUCCAAAGUAACCAAUGAUGAAUUAAAAGAUGUGUUAAAAUAUAUAGAUAUAAAAUAUAUUGAUAAUAAUACAAAUUUAAAUAAGUUGUUAUAUAAACUAAAUGAAUAUAAGAAAUAUAAUAUAAUAAUUAUAAACUUAGCUUUUUUUUUUAUUAAAGAUGAAAACUUGAUUAAUGCAUGUGUAAAACAAUCUAUACAUUGUAUGCAAGUCUCAAGUUUGAGAAAUGAAAAUAAUAAUAAUAAUAUAACGAAUAAUAAUAAUAUAACGAAUAAUAAUAAUAACAUAACGGCGCAUUCACAAAUGGACAAAGUAUUAUGUAAUGUUUUUAUUAAUAACAUAUUGUAUAUACAUUUUUAUUAUUCUUUUUUUGUUAGUUUUUUUAAACACCUAAAUAAUGUAAGUGUUUUUCCACACUUUGAAAAUGUUUUAGUCAAGGAUAGCAAGAAGGAUAAAGGUGUGGAAGUACGUAUUAGUAGUAAUAAUAAUGAUAAUAAGAAGUGUCAUACUAAUCAUAAUGUGAACUAUAAUCGAACUGGUAGUGAUGUGAACAAAAAUCCAAUUAAUAAAAAUAUAAACAGUAGUAAAAAUAAUAAUGUGGGUAGUGUUUUUAAACAAGAACAACUAAAUAGUAAACCUAAUUUGGACACAACAGGAAAGAGACAAAGAGAUACAGGAAUCAUAGCAGUAAAUAAAAAAAUAUUAUAUAAUUAUGAUAUUGUUGAAAAUGAAAAUAUAUUAAAAAGGGAACAAGAAUCAGCUUGCUAUAUUAGUGAUCAGAAACAGGACAAAAAUUGUAACAUACAUAUUGCAAGUUGUAAUAAGAACAUUCAAAAUAAUGAUGAGCGCAAUAAAAAUAAUGAUAUAUCUAUUACAAAAAAUAAUAUGCAAAGUUUAAACGAGUAUGUGUUACCAAAACAUAAAACCAAUGUGGCAUAUAAAUCGUAUCACUACAAUAGUGGCAACAACAAUAACCACGAUAACGAUAACGAUGGCAAUACAAGUAAUGAGAAAAUUUUGGCAAUGAAUAGAAAUUUUAAUGUUUUUCAAAAGAGUAUAUAUAACACUAAUGAAAUAAGUGUUGAUUAUGAAACUUCAAAAUGUUACUUAAAUAAGUGUUGUAAAAAAAAUAAACCAAAAAAAAAAAAAAAAAAAAAAACAUUAAAAAAUAAAAUAUAUAUUUUUGACAU
Molecule: long non-coding RNA, 1449 nt
Filed under: Piliocolobus tephrosceles (Ugandan red Colobus)
Lineage: Eukaryota; Metazoa; Chordata; Mammalia; Primates; Cercopithecidae
Description: lncRNA (ENSPTEG00000005938.1)
Source: RNAcentral